UGGGGCAUCGCCAAGUGGCAAGGCACCAGACUUUGAUUCUGGCAUUCGGAGGUUCGAGUCCUUCUGUCCCAG
This is a transfer RNA of Monoraphidium neglectum, 72 nucleotides long. It matches the Rfam family "tRNA". From Rfam's summary of the family: Transfer RNA (tRNA) molecules are approximately 80 nucleotides in length. Their secondary structure includes four short double-helical elements and three loops (D, anti-codon, and T loops). Further hydrogen bonds mediate the characteristic L-shaped molecular structure. tRNAs have two regions of fundamental functional importance: the anti-codon, which is responsible for specific mRNA codon recognition, and the 3' end, to which the tRNAs corresponding amino acid is attached (by aminoacyl-tRNA synthetases). tRNAs cope with the degeneracy of the genetic code in two manners: having more than one tRNA (with a specific anti-codon) for a particular amino acid; and 'wobble' base-pairing, i.e. permitting non-standard base-pairing at the 3rd anti-codon position. NCBI's taxonomy places the organism in Eukaryota, Viridiplantae, Chlorophyta, Chlorophyceae, Sphaeropleales, Selenastraceae. The record is from Rfam.